AUUUCUCAUGGGGGAAACCCGAUGGAUUACCCGCGUGGAGGAUGAAGGUCUUCGGAUUGUAAACUCCUGUCAUGCGAGAACAAGAAAGUGAUAGUAUCGCAAGAGGAAGAGACGGCUAACUCUGUGCCAGCAGCCGCGGUAAUACAGAGGUCUCAAGCGUUGUUCGGAUUCAUUGGGCGUAAAGGGUGCGUAGGCGGCGUGGAAAGUUGAGUGUGAAAUCCUAGGGCUUAACCUUAGAACUGCACUCAAUACUCCCAUGCUAGAGGAAUGUAGAGGAGAGUGGAAUUCACGGUGUAGCAGUGAAAUGCGUAGAUAUCGUGAGGAAGACCAGUUGCGAAGGCGACUCUCUGGGCAUUUCCUGACGCUGAGGCACGAAGGCCAGGGGAGCAAACGGGAUUAGAUACCCCGGUAGUCCUGGCAGUAAACGGUGCACGUUUGGUGUGGGCGGGUUCAGACCCCGUCCGUGCCGGAGCUAACGCGUUAAACGUGCCGCCUGGGAAGUACGGUCGCAAGAUUAAAACUCAAAGAAAUUGACGGGGGCCCGCACAAGCGGUGGAGUAUGUGGCUUAAUUCGAUGCAACGCGAAGAACCUUACCUGGUCUUGACAUGCAUCUCUAAGUUACUGAAAGUUAGCGAGCCGGUAGCAAUACCGACAAUUUGCACAGGUGCUGCAUGGCUGUCGUCAGCUCGUGUCGUGAG
RNAcentral lists this ribosomal RNA (699 nucleotides) under uncultured bacterium. RNAcentral's name for it is "bacterial SSU rRNA". It matches the Rfam family "Bacterial small subunit ribosomal RNA", at positions 361 to 1071 of the family's 1533-position model. The record is from RNAcentral.